RNAcentral lists this ribosomal RNA (447 nucleotides) under uncultured bacterium. Its description in RNAcentral is "bacterial SSU rRNA". It matches the Rfam family "Bacterial small subunit ribosomal RNA", at positions 355 to 825 of the family's 1533-position model. The record is from RNAcentral.
UGGGGAAUCUUGGACAAUGGGCGCAAGCCUGAUCCAGCCAUGCCGCGUGGAUGAUGAAGGCCUUAGGGUUGUAAAAUCCUUUCGUUGGGGACGAUAAUGACGGUACCCAAAGAAGAAGCUCCGGCUAACUUCGUGCCAGCAGCCGCGGUAAUACGAAGGGGGCUAGCGUUGUUCGGAUUUACUGGGCGUAAAGCGUGCGCAGGCGGUUCUAUAAGACAGAUGUGAAAUCCCCGGGCUCAACCUGGGAAUGGCAUUUGUGACUGUAGAGCUAGAGUACGGUAGAGGGGGAUGGAAUUCCGCGUGUAGCAGUGAAAUGCGUAGAUAUGCGGAGGAACACCGAUGGCGAAGGCAAUCCCCUGGACCUGUACUGACGCUCAUGCACGAAAGCGUGGGGAGCAAACAGGAUUAGAUACCCACGUAGUCCCUGAGCGGGCUGGCAAGGCGCAU